This 403-nucleotide ribosomal RNA is filed under the name uncultured bacterium. Its description in RNAcentral is "partial 16S ribosomal RNA". It matches the Rfam family "Bacterial small subunit ribosomal RNA", at positions 28 to 526 of the family's 1533-position model. The record is from RNAcentral.
GACGAACGCUGGCGGCGUGCCUAAUACAUGCAAGUCGAACGCAGUGGGGACGGGUGAGUAACACGUGGGUAACCUCCCAUCAGAGGGGCUAACCAUUGGAAACAGGUGCUAAACCGAUACUGAUGGAUGGACCCGCGGUGCAUUAGCUAGUUGGUGGGGUAACGGCUCACCAAGGCGACGAUGAAUAGCCGGUCUGAGAGGGUGAGCGGCCACACGGGGACUGAGACACGGCCCAGAAUCCUACGGGAGGCAGCAGUGGGGAAUAUUGGGCAAUGGGCGAAAGCCUGAUGGAGCCAUGCCGCGUGUGUGAAGAAGGUCUUCGGGUCGUAAAGCACUUUUGGCAGAGAGGCGUUACCUGCAGAAGAAGCACCGGCUAACUCCGUGCCAGCCGCCGCGGUAAUAC